RNAcentral lists this long non-coding RNA (1420 nucleotides) under Homo sapiens (human). Its description in RNAcentral is "HSALNT0292382". The record is from RNAcentral. Lineage: Eukaryota; Metazoa; Chordata; Mammalia; Primates; Hominidae.
AAAGGACUAAGACAGAACCUGAGGAACUACAACAUUUAGAGAUUAAGCAAAAAAGUAAGGCAAUACAAAGAAAAAUUAAAAGCAGAAGCUCAGAAAAUGAGAGGAAAAUCAGGACUGGUGUCAUAAAAGCCCUAAAGGAAAUAGUCUUUUGAGGAAGAGGUGGCCAAAGAGGACAAACCCUACUGGGAGUAACAUGCAGCCGAGGACCCACUGGAUUUGGCAGGAGAGAAGACCACUGACAAACUUGUUAAGGGAAGUUCCAUCAAGGUAGUAGAGAUGGAGGCCUAUUAUAGUGUACUGAAGAGUGAAAGGGGAAAUACUCUCUUGUAUAUUUCACUUUUUUCUUUGUGAACUUUUGCUGUAAAGAAAAUAGAACAUGACAGUAGCUGGAAGGGGAUGUGGAAUCAAAAGUUUUUAAGGUGAACAAUAUUUGAGAAUAUGUUGAUGGAAAGGAUUCAACAGAGUGGAAGAGACGGGCAAUGCAGAAUAGAAAGAGGGUAAUCAAAGAACUAGCAUUCAUGAGAAAUGAGAAUGAAACUGAGCAUAGCUGAGCAGCUGGUCCUUGGAAGGAAGAGAGAUUGUAACUGUAGGGAGGGAGGAGAAGAAACAUCCAGAGGAAGGAAGGGUUAUAGAUUAACAGUGGGGAAAGGAGGAGCUACCCUUUAUUGGCUUCAUUUUCUCACUGAAAUCAGGCAAGGGCAUCAAAUGAAUGUUAGGACUGUGGAAGGAGGCAGAGUGCUUGAGAAGAGCAAAAAUAUAAAACGGUUGUCUUGAAAAUGUAGGAAGUAAACUACCCAAGUAAUCGGUCGUAAUGUUCAUCAGUGUUGAGUGCCCAAUUGGGACUCAAGAUUUGUGAUUACAGUGUUAAAGUGAAGUAGACUCUUAAUUGUGUAAUUUUCCUCUAGGAGUGGGCACAGAGGAGACAGUUAGAUUCAGCCAGAGUUGGAACUUUGUCAUGUGAAAGAGGGGCAAAGGGGUUGAGACUUUUGUAAAGGAAUUAUUAAAAUGAUAGGCCCAGGAAAACUUGACGAGGUGGGUCAAUGGCUUAGAAAUCAAGCAUCAUGCAAGGUGAUAGGGAUAUAAUAGAAAGGAGACAUAGCAUCUGCUUCAUAAGGCUUAUACCAGAGAUAGAGGCAAUCCAAUAAUUAGGCAAAUGUAUACUUAUGAAAUGUGCCAAAUGUUGUAAAAUAAAGUAUUAGUGGCUAUUAGAUUUUGUAACAAAUAAUCUGCCUUCAUUAAGGGGGAGAGAGAGUCAGGGAAGCUUUCCCUGAGGAAAGGAUGUUUGAGAUGAGAUCUUGAAGGAUGAAUAGGAGUUAACUUGGACUGUGGUGUAGGGCUAGGAGAGAUGGGGAUUAUGUUACAGGCAGAAGGACCUGCAUAUGCAAAAUUGCUGGGUUUAAAGGGAUCUUGUCCUUUGGAA